UCUGCCCCAAGAAACAUCACAGAUAUGACUGCUGUAUCACAUGUUUGUCAGUAGGUGGCAAGGAGAAAGACUACGUCUACACUUAGUGUUCUGACUUAUGAACAUCACAAUGUUUAGUAGCCUAGCAUU
Apodemus sylvaticus (European woodmouse) is the source of this 129-nucleotide small nucleolar RNA. RefSeq annotates it as small nucleolar RNA SNORA17. The record is from RefSeq and is a predicted model, not a curated record. The transcript has a single exon. Lineage: Eukaryota; Metazoa; Chordata; Mammalia; Rodentia; Muridae.